RNAcentral lists this long non-coding RNA (2985 nucleotides) under Lynx pardinus (Iberian lynx). Lineage: Eukaryota; Metazoa; Chordata; Mammalia; Carnivora; Felidae. The record is from RNAcentral.
AACACAAAGAAGUUAAAGAGACCAGUAGCCCCAAAGCACUUACAGAGCAAUUUUAUUAGGACUUGGGUUACUGGGAAAGUUUUAUUUUAUCACUCAGCUAUUAUCUUGAAUCUGCCAUUCACUCAAAGGUUAUUGUUGCCCUUAAUUCAGCUCUGUACCUUCUGGGCUAUCACAAUUUUGUUGAGCACUUUUCUACCCAGAUAGAUAACAGGAUUUGGUGACAGCUUUCAAUUGCAUUACCACUGAAACUUUUGUAGAUCUAGGAUUUCUUUGUGUAGGCUGGUCCCUGACUAUGACUUACUUAGGCUAGUACUUAUUAGCUUAUAAAACUGGCCUGACUCUGUAAAAUAAAUCACUAAUUCUUCCAGAGUAACCACCUCUAGCAGUGUUUAUCAACACACACAUAAAUAAUCUAGAUGACCAUCAUGAGGGAUUCAUCAUGACCUCUGACGUGCUCCUGGCCUAUCCUAUAAGUUCAUUUAGUAAUAAGAUCCCUGGUCAAUAGAAGUAUCACCUAAACUCCAGCUUUCAAAGGUUCUGUUGUGUUCUUGAGAAAGAGUAUUUGAAGCGAAAGGAAUGAAAUUGGCAGAGAAGUUAUGGUCUUUUAAGUAUCUGAGAAAGGCUCCCAUAUACAGAGGGAUGGCUGUGACCCGAUCAUUCCUUGGCAAAUGAACAAAAGAGAAAAUACAAUUACUUAAGCAGAGAAAAAUACCCAAUUUGAGAAAUUAAGAACAAACUACAGAAAAAAUAUGAUAGCAUUCCAAUUUUCCCUUAAGUUAUCUACUAUUUAAAAAAGUUUUAAUAGCUGAUCUUCGUGGGCACAUGGUAAAAUUUGUUCUUCCGUGUUUUUUAAAGAAUUUUUUAAUGUUUAUUUUUGAGAGAAAGAGAGAGAAAGGGAGAGAGAGAGAGAGAGAGAGAGAGAGAGAGAGGCAGAGGCAGGUGUGGAGGGGCAAAGAGAGAGGGAGACACAGAAUCUGAAGCAGGCUCCAGGCUCUGACCUGUCAGCACAGGGCCUGACAUGGAGUCUGAACUCAUGAACCACAAGAUCCUGAUCUGAGCUGAAGUCAGAUGCUUAACCAACUGAGCCACCCAGGCGUCCCUGUUCUUCCAUGUUUUACUUGUCGUAUUCAUCCAUAAAUAACUUGGCACUAUGUAUCAAGAACCAUAAAAAUGUUCUGAUUUUUUGACCCACUAAUUCUCCUUUUGGGAGCCCAAAAUAUGAAGAAAUCACAUGAAUAAAGAUAUUAAUCACAUCAAUUGUUAAAAUACUAUAUGAAGAAACUUAAAUGCCCAACAAUGUAGAAAUGGUUACAGAAAUUAUAACAUGCCCAUUUAAAAAGUUUUUUUUAAUUUUUUUAUUUUUUAUUUUUGAGAGAGACAGAGCAUGAGCAGGGGAGGGGUGGAGAGAGAGGGAGACCCAGAAUCCAAAGCAGGCUCCAGGCUCUGAGCUGUCAGCACAGAGCCUGAUGUGGGGCUUGAACCCACAGACCGUGAGAGCAUGAUGUGAGCUGAAGUCGGAUGCUUAACCAACUGAGCCACCCAGGCACCCCAUAACAUGCCCAUUUUAUAGGUGCAUAAAGUAGAGAUACUCUUAGUCUAGGAUCUAUUCGACAUAAAUAUUUGUCUUUUGUGUGUCAAGUGCUUUAUCAGAUUCUGAGACUACAGUGGUAAGCAAAAUAAUACCAUUUGCUACCAAGCCCAGGAAGCUUAGAAUCUGGUAGGGAACUAGAUAUUAAUGAAAAUAAUAUGUUACCUUCAUGGCCAGGUAUUUAGGAGGGCCAUUUUCAUUGUUUAAAGAUUUGCAUUAAACGUUUUACUGGACAGACUUGGUUUGGGGCUGACUCAGUCAAUGUACAGGAUAGAUAACCUUGAUGUUGUGUUUGUCUGUGGCUUAAGAACACAAUAGGUAAUGGGAACAUUUGAUAGCAUGUAGGAAAGGAGGUGUGGAACUCUCAAAGCACUCAGGCCAUCAAUGCUAUUAGGAGCUCUGAAAUCUAAUGUUUUUAAGCUCAGUUGAGUCUUCUGUUGACCUAACUAAAUGUUUAGGACAACAGCAUUUCUGCUUCUCUCGUGUACUUUUUUUUUUACCCUGUGUAUUGGAAACAGAGUAUGAAUAAUUAAUGAGCAAUUUUUAUUGUAUCUCAUGAAACUAUAAUGAUGCUAAGUUUGUUGCAUGAUACAGAUAAUGGGAUAAGAUUAGUCCUGCAGUUCCACUGCAAACUUCGAUGUUCCCUUAUCAAAGUUUAAUGACCUCUUGCUGUGACAAAGAACAACAUUAGGUGCUUAAAAAAAUUCACUUUCAACCUAAUUUGCAGAUAUUGAAGCAAAGGCUAAGGAAUGUUGUAAUGAUAGAUUUCAUGUUUUGGGUAUUCAUUGGAUCCAAAUAUGUGGUAAAUGUGUCUAUUUCAGAGGGAAACAUAUUUAGUUUUUUAUUUCUUUUUAUUUUUUUAAUUAAUUUAUUUUUUUAAUGUUUAUUUAUUUUUGAGAGAGAGGGACACAGAGUGUGAGCAGGGGAGCCACAGAAUCCGAAGCAGGCUCCAGGCUUUAAGCUGUCCUCUCAGAGUCCAAUGCAGGGCUUGAACCCAGGAACUGCAAGAUCAUGACCUAAGCUGAAGUCGGAUGCUUAACCGACUGAGCCACCCAGGUGCACCUCACAGAGGUCCUCACAGGGCCCCUUCUUAUAUGGAUAAUUUUACAGAGUUAUGAAUCAUUCACAUGCUUUGGGGUCUUGGGUUGUGAUUUUUUAUUUUUUUUUUACACAUAAAUGCAUUUGAUGCUUCUCUUCAUUCACAUGGAGCACUUAUUCCUUAUUUCUUGUUUUAAUGGUAAAGGGAAUUGUGCCCCUCUCCCUUUUCAUCUUUAUUAACAUCACCUCUGGCCCCCUCCUCCUUGUUUGAGAUCAGUAUCAUGAGGAAGCAUUUGCUUCUGAGGUUUAGGUAUGACUGAUAAAAAUAAAAUAAAAUAAUCCUCUCAUAUAUAUACAAA